Non-coding RNA from Caenorhabditis elegans, 21 nucleotides. The record is from Ensembl. NCBI's taxonomy places the organism in Eukaryota, Metazoa, Nematoda, Chromadorea, Rhabditida, Rhabditidae.
UGUAAGGUUGGACAUCUCUUG